Molecule: ribosomal RNA, 524 nt
Filed under: uncultured bacterium
Lineage: Bacteria
Description: partial 16S ribosomal RNA
Rfam family: Bacterial small subunit ribosomal RNA
Source: RNAcentral
GACGAACGCUGGCGGCGUGCCUAAUACAUGCAAGUCGAGCGCAGGAAAUCGACGGAACCCUUCGGGGGGAAGUCGAUGGAAUGAGCGGCGGACGGGUGAGUAACACGUAAAGAACCUGCCCUCAGGUCUGGGAUAACCAUGAGAAAUCGGGGCUAAUACCGGAUGGGCCAUCGGACCGCAUGGUCCGAGGAUGAAAGGCGCUUCGGCGUCGCCUGGGGAUGGCUUUGCGGUGCAUUAGCUAGUUGGUGGGGUAAUGGCCCACCAAGGCGACGAUGCAUAGCCGACCUGAGAGGGUGAUCGGCCACACUGGGACUGAGACACGGCCCAGACUCCUACGGGAGGCAGCAGUAGGGAAUCUUCCACAAUGGACGAAAGUCUGAUGGAGCAACGCCGCGUGAACGAUGAAGGCCUUCGGGUCGUAAAGUUCUGUUGUAAGGGAAGAACAAGUGCCGCAGGCAAUGGCGGCACCUUGACGGUACCUUGCGAGAAAGCCACGGCUAACUACGUGCCAGCCGCCGCGGUAA